AGGCUCUGAAAAUGAGGUCUCUGACAGUGAGAAGAAUGUCAGGGGACUCCUACUCCACACCCUUCUGCCCCUUAGACAGCUGGCCCCUUGACUAUUCAUGGAGAGUAGCCUUUGGGAAGGAAAAAAAACAUUAAAAACUAGUUCAUUUUCUACAAGUUAUCGUAGCCACAAUAAAUACAUGAGAGAGAAGAUGGCCUUUUCCAUGUGAAAUACCUCUUCCCUUUGCCCAGUUCAUAAGAGAGAGUAAGAACUAUGUUUAGAGACUGAUAGAGUUUCCCGUGGUUACUAUCAAGAGAUCAGACUCAUAUUAACGUUCGCUCAAAAGGGGAACAGGGAAGAACAUUUGAAAAAGAAACAUUAAAUUAAAUAUUAUUCUCUCAUUCAUUCCUCUUUCUGUAGGGAUGUUCUUGGAGUGUCCAUGUUCAGCCUUAACAGUCUUCAUUGAAGCAAAAAAUACCCUUGCUACUCUCAUGUCACAGUUGUUUUUCAUUUCCCCCUUUUGGAAUACAUGAGGCAAACGACGUGGCAGACUCUCUCACGUCCAGCUCACUGUCCCAGCACAGUGAGGAUCCCUCAGAGAGGAGGUCUUUUGCUUCCUUUUAUGUGCAACUGUCCCCCACCACAUCCUUCAUAAGAAUCCUAGGUUAUCCCAUGGUCAAUCCCCUUUUCCCAUCUCAAUUCGAGAAAAUGGAUAAUACUAUCAAACAUAAACAUUGAAGAGCCGGAGCCCAACUAGACCAGACAUUUAGUUCAGUGAAAUUUUCCAGUACAAUACCAAGCAAAAAUAUAUACCUUAAACCAACAAAAAAACAACAGAAAUCUCAUAGAUAAUAAGGUAAUGUUUUCUGUUCCACAUCCUACCAGGUCAUUCUAACAGCACACAUUUAUAUGAACUUAUUUUAUCCUAAUUACUGGAAACGUUGGAGUCAGGGGAAGACCUGAGGUGACUGAUACUUAUUUUCAGAUUGGUCCAGUACUAUUUGAUACUUUGGGGGAAUAAUGGGUGUUUUCUAGGACCUAGUGAUAAGGAAAUUCAACUCUUGCUUACUUUAAAGAACUUGGAUAUAGGAGUUCCUAUUGCGGCUCAGUGGGUUAAGAAUCUCAUAUAGUGUCCUUGAAGAUGUGGGUUGGAUCCCUGGCCUUGUCCAGUGGGUUAAGGAUCUGGCGUUGCUGUGAGCUGUGGUGUAGGUGACAGAUGCUGCUCGGAUCCUGUGUUACUGUGGCUGUGGCGUAGGCUGGCAGCUGUAGCUCCCAUUCGACUCCUAGCCCUGGAAUCUCCAUAUGCCUCUGAUGUGGCCCUGAAAAAGCAAAAUAAAAUAAACAAUAAAUUAAAAGUUGGAUAUAGAUUCUGUAUUAAGAGGAUUUGUCUGUCUUCGUUCUAACAACCAAGUUAUUGAAACUGAGCUUUCCAUUAAAAAUAAGUCUUGAAGAGCAGGGGCAGUGUGGUGGCAGCUGCAUAAUCCCUCUGUUCCUGAGUGGAGGCAGUGGCCUAGCAUUUCAUAUUGCUUGAGUUAAAGAUCAGCUUUGCAAAGAGAGCACAUAUUAGUCUUAGUUCGCAGAAUGGAUGAGAUUAGAUUUGAGGUUUUGAAGUCUUCCCUCUCCAAUGAGUACGAAUAGAUACUUGUGAAAUCCUCAUUUGGAGGAAGCCUGUUUUGCAGGCAGUUAAGAUGUGUAACCUUUUUUUAAGGUGAAAAUAUACAUUAUGUUUAGCACUGUACUUCAUGCCUCAGGGAAGCUUAUCUAAGGCAUAUAGACAUAUUUGGUCCAUAAAGCACAUCACAGCCUUCUUGCACUAAGGAAUAGAAGACAGCACUUCAGCACACUUGGGGCCCAUUCUAAAUAGUGAACACACACACAAACACAAAGAGCAAAAAUUGUGGCACUAUGUAGCCUGCAAAAAGGUCACUUUUUAAAAGUAUGAGCUGAGGAGUUCCCGUUGUGGCGCAGUGGAAACAAAUCUGACUAGGAACCAGCAGGUUGCGGGUUCAAUCCCUGGCCCCAGUGGGUUAAAGAUCCUGUGCUGCCGUGAGCUGUGAUGUAGGUCUCAGACCCGUCUCGGAUCUGACGUUGCUGUGGCUCUGGUGUAGGCCUGCAGCUCUGCUGGCCUACGCCACAGCCACAGCAAUGCAGGAUCCUUGCCCCACUGAGCGAGGCCCAGAAUGGAACCCACGUCCUCGUGGAUGCUAGUUGGGUUCGCUUCUGCUGUGCCACAACAGGAGCUCCGAUCCCAUCUAGUUCUGCCUGGUUUGAGGGCGUCCUUUCCUAUUCCUGAGGUUGCUGCUAAAUCCUGUGUCUCUCUCUGGGUGUGAAUUUUGCAAAAACUUUCAAAUCAGUAGUCAAAUGUUUUAUCCACUUACAGUCCCACCCCUGGUUUUGAAGAUGAGCGAUUCUUGCUUUGCUCAAACCAGGUCUUAGCUCUGACAUGACGAAGAGGUGGCAACUUUGCAAAUCCAGGCUAUGUCAGUUACUGAGCCUGGAUUUGUUACUUCCAGAGAAUGGCUUUUUCUGGAUUGCUGAACUGGAUUCCAAUAAUCUAGACGUUUCUGAGGGAAGCCCUGGAGUGGUUCCCACAUGCAGUGGGAGGAGGGCUGUGGCAGGUUGUCCUUCUAGAUCAAAGCCUCAUAUUCCAAUUGGGAGAGAUGCUGCCCUGGGUGGCUUCUGAAUAGAAGGUCAGGAGCCUGCCUGCUGUCUGUGUUUCAUCUCUGAUGCCCCCUCACCUGAAGUGGACUAGAGCCAGCCAGCACCCAGGUCUUGAGCUCAGGGUGCCCCCGUGCCCCCGUAAAACAAGUGUGUGCUGGCUUUGCUUUGUGAUGCCUGCAGAUGGCAAAGCCAUGAUUUGUGCCUUUUGUCCUGUGGAGGCGUGGUCUUGGCAGCCCCAGGGAGGGGUCAGGAUGUUUUAAAGCAUGGUGACGCCUUAGGCUGGGUGUGAAAACCAGAGGAGAAGCAUGAACCACUUUGAGAAGGGCCAUCGACACUGUGGAAAAGCAUAUUCAAGGGAUUUCCCCUAGUGGCUCAGUGGAAACGAAUCCGACUAUAACCACGAGGUUGCGGGUUCUAUCCCUGGCCUCACCCAGUGGGUUAAGGAUCCGCCAUUGCCCUGAGCUGGGGUAUAGGUUGCAGAUGCGGCUCGGAUCCUGUGUGGCUGUGGUGUAGGCUGGCAGCUGUAGCUCCAAUUCGACCUCUAGCCUGGGAACUUCCACAUGCAUGCAGCCCUAUAAAGCAAAAAGC
RNAcentral lists this long non-coding RNA (3228 nucleotides) under Sus scrofa (pig). RNAcentral describes it as "lncRNA (ENSSSCG00005006875.1)". Lineage: Eukaryota; Metazoa; Chordata; Mammalia; Artiodactyla; Suidae. The record is from RNAcentral.